GACGAACGCUGGCGGCGUGCCUAACACAUGCAAGUCGAACGGGACCAGGGGCAACUCUGGUUCAGUGGCGGACGGGUGCGUAACACGUGAGGAACAUGACCUUCGGCGGGGGAGUAGCCGGCCCAACGGCCGGGUAAUACCGCGUACGACCAUUUGGGGACAUCCUCGAGUGGUGAAAGCAGCAAUGCGCCGAUGGAGUGCCUCGCGGCCUAUCAGCUAGUUGGUGGGGUAACGGCNCACCAAGGCAACGACGGGUAGCUGGUCUGAGAGGAUGGCCAGCCACAUUGGGACUGAGACACGGCCCAGACUCCUACGGGAGGCAGCAGUGGGGAAUAUUGCGCAAUGGGCGAAAGCCUGACGCAGCGACGCCGCGUGA
Molecule: ribosomal RNA, 376 nt
Filed under: uncultured bacterium
Lineage: Bacteria
Description: bacterial SSU rRNA
Rfam family: Bacterial small subunit ribosomal RNA
Source: RNAcentral